This 253-nucleotide ribosomal RNA is filed under the name uncultured bacterium. RNAcentral's name for it is "partial 16S ribosomal RNA". It matches the Rfam family "Bacterial small subunit ribosomal RNA", at positions 524 to 776 of the family's 1533-position model. The record is from RNAcentral.
UACGUAGGGUGCGAGCGUUGUCCGGAAUUAUUGGGCGUAAAGGGCUCGUAGGCGGUUUGUCGCGUCGGGAGUGAAAUCCACUGGCUUAACUGGUGGCUUGCUUUCGAUACGGGCAGACUGGAGGUAUGCAGGGGAGAACGGAAUUCCUGGUGUAGCGGUGAAAUGCGUAGAUAUCUGGAGGAACACCGGUGGCGAAGGCGGCAUCCUGGACCAACACUGACACUGAGGAGCGAAAGCCAGGGGAGCAAACGGG